AUAAUACUCCCUCUGUCCCAAAAUUCUUGUUUUACAUUUGUCUAGAUACAGAUGUACCUAAUACUAAAAUGUGACUUCAUACGUUUGUAUUUGGAUAAAUCUAAGACAAGAAUUUUAGGACGGAGGGGUACCAA
Non-coding RNA from Triticum aestivum (bread wheat), 134 nucleotides. NCBI's taxonomy places the organism in Eukaryota, Viridiplantae, Streptophyta, Magnoliopsida, Poales, Poaceae. The record is from Rfam.